ACAUUUUGCCUGCGCCACAGCGCCACCUCAGCAACCCGGAUACCAACGGUUUUGGUAGGGACUCGUGACCAUUUCCAUUAAGCCCUCCACCGUUUCGACACUUCCACUACCCUCCCUCCUUUUCUGCGCUAAACAACACAAAACACACACCAGCUUCAAAGUUGCUUUUCUCUGCAAAACCACGGCAGGAGAUCUUCCUGGGUUUUACUAUGAUGGGAAAAGAACAGGUACUUCCCACUCAAAGGCCCCAUCCCUGCUGUCGUCGUAUGAUUGCUUCUGCUUCUUCCAGCGCUCGGACGCCGGCCAGGGUACGCUGGUUGUUCUGCAUUUGAACUUUGAACCCAAAUUUUGUCCUUUUCCAGGCGAACAAGUGUAAGCACUUCUAAGAUGCUUCAGGCCAGGGAGUUAUGCGGUAAUCUCAUUCUUUCUGGAGGUGUAACUUCAAUGAGGAAUUCCAAAAGGCGCAAGCAUGCCAUCCUGUGGUAUGUUAAUAUAGGCCUUCAGUUUAAGAUUUUAAAGUUAAGUUUACCAAUUACCACGUUAUGAUUUCCACCAAUUUGUUUCCAGGUUUUACUUUCAGCUUGAUUAGUGCCCUAAUUCAUACUGAAAUUUUUUUUUGUUCUUUUUUUUAUAUUACGAAUAGUAUAUCGUUAUUAGACGUAAUAGCAUACAUUUAAUUUUCAAAAUUUUACUGUAAGCCUCUGUGGGUCUCUAUUUGGCAUGCAGGGCCAAGUUUAGAAUCCAGCAACAUAUAGGUUGCAGCAGGAAACUUGCAACGUAUAGGUUACAGCAGGAAACUUGCAACAAAUGACGGCAGGAAAUUGUAAUUUUGUUUUAUUUAGGUGUUCUAUGAAUUGCAGGUUUGGAAGUAUCAGGAAACAAAAGAGUUAAGUGAUGAUGCUAUGGGGCGGAUUCGCAUGAAUUGCAGGUGAAGCUUUACCACCAACGGCUAAUCCAAAGAGGAGCUGUACAAUCUUACGAGGUGCAUGUGAAUUCCGAUACUCGUUUGCUGCUUGGAGUUGACCCAUCUGAGAGAUUUGUCAUGUCAGGCCGAGAGGACCGCAAUUUACGACUUUGGAGUAUUAAGUCUGGUAAACUGCUUUUCGAGGAUAAAUUCUGUAACACAAUCCCCUCAACCGUGUGCUGGCGAAGAGCUGAAAGGUUUAAGGGAGAUCAGGAUGACAGGCCAAAUUAGGAAUGCCUUGAUUCCAAAAGUGAUGGUUUGGAUCACAGGAAUGACUGUUUUACAUGCACUGACAAGUGUGAAGGGUGGAAAAAUGCUCUCACGAAAAUUUUACAAAUGUGCAAAGCUUGGGAUUUCUUUCUACAGUGAUGCUCGAGUGUAGCAAACUUAAUGCUCACCAUGCCGAAGGCAUUUAUGGGCUCAAACGCAAAGCAACGCUACUGUGAGGAGAAAUAAGAAGGCGCGAUUGUUGGUCUUUGCCUUCCGAGGAGUUUUGUUUUUAUUUCCUUAGUAAAGAUACAAACAGGUGGAUAGUGAGUCUGAAAAUAGUACUUGUGUCGAGGUCUGUAUCUCAGUUGUUUAAGAGUAUUUACCGCACACUUAGGCCAAAGUUUGAAUCCUCACUCUUUGCCUUUGGUCUCCCUUAACACCAAGUGUAACAAAGAAAGUACUUCAUAAAAUGAUUGUGAAAUUUAGUAAAGUGACAAUGGUAAUUAUCA
Long non-coding RNA from Pyrus x bretschneideri (Chinese white pear), 1683 nucleotides. RefSeq lists it as uncharacterized. The transcript is spliced from 6 exons. The record is from RefSeq and is a predicted model, not a curated record. NCBI's taxonomy places the organism in Eukaryota, Viridiplantae, Streptophyta, Magnoliopsida, Rosales, Rosaceae.